UACGGAGGGUGCGAGCGUUGUCCGGAAUCACUGGGCGUAAAGGGCGCGUAGGUGGCCCGUUAAGUGGCUGGUGAAAUCCCGCGGCUCAACUGCGGGGCUGCCGGUCAUACUGGCGAGCUAGAGCACGGUAGGGGCAGAUGGAAUUCCCGGUGUAGCGGUGGAAUGCGUAGAGAUCGGGAAGAAUACCAGUGGCGAAGGCGUUCUGCUGGGCCGUUGCUGACACUGAGGCGCGACAGCGUGGGAGCAACAGG
Molecule: ribosomal RNA, 251 nt
Filed under: uncultured bacterium
Lineage: Bacteria
Description: partial 16S ribosomal RNA
Rfam family: Bacterial small subunit ribosomal RNA
Source: RNAcentral